CUGCAGCCAAUUAAGACGACCAGGUUGCUUUCCUCAUGGGGGCCUUUGGAGGCUACGGCUGCAAGCAGCAGCCUCCGUGACGGUGCACACAGCCUGCUGCCAAUAUGAAUUGCCCUAAGGGACAGUGGAGAUAAUU
Molecule: small nucleolar RNA, 136 nt
Organism: Mesocricetus auratus (golden hamster)
Lineage: Eukaryota; Metazoa; Chordata; Mammalia; Rodentia; Cricetidae
Gene: SNORA70
Rfam family: Small nucleolar RNA SNORA70
About the family: snoRNA U70 seems to be exclusive to mammals and is a member of the H/ACA class of snoRNA which contain H (ANANNA) and ACA box motifs. H/ACA box snoRNAs are involved in the conversion of uridines to pseudouridines (5-ribosyluracil) a constituent of structural RNAs (transfer, ribosomal, small nuclear, and small nucleolar).
Source: Ensembl